GAUAUAUAUAUAUAUAUAUAUAUAUAUAUAGAAUGGAGUUUUAUAUGAAAAUGACUUGAUAAAAUUAGAUAGAAAAAGUUAAGAAUUCAACAAAAAACUCAAUUUAUAUUCAGAGAUGAUCCUGCACAGUUUAAUUUAGAGUGUAAUUUGUUAAAAUUAAAUCAUUAGUUAAAUUUUAAUUUAUUUAUUGAGUUAUAUUUUGUUAUAAAUUGGAUUUGAAUGGGACUAAAUAAUUUAAGUUGAUUUGUGGGUAGAAGUAGCAUAAAAAAAUAAAAAGAAAGUUGUAGAUGUAGAUGAAUCAUUAGCAACAACAGCACUAUAAUAUGGCAAAAUUAAAAUAAUUAUAAAUUUCAAACAAAUAAUUAAUAUGGCAAUAUGUAAUUAUUUUCAUAAAUCGGCUAUUCCUAGAAACCUCCACAUCAACAAAAGAACAAAACUGUCCAUCUGCAACCAUAGUAAUUCCAUAUCUUCGAGGAGGUAACGAAAAUUGUAAGGAUUGAGAUGUUUACAGUGCAACUAAACUCUUCGUUGACGAUAUUUAUGUGUGUAAUUUAAUUACAUAAGCACUCGUCAAGUUUCAGAAGAAAAUGAGCUAAAACGGAGAAGUUACGCGAUUAUUAGUUUUCACUUAAAGUGAAUAGUAACUCCGGUUUUCCGGAGAAGCCACGGAGUAGAGUUGGCUUUCGGCGCGUAUCGGACUCCGAGCAUAGAACUCCAAUAGCUCGUUUCGAACAGUUCAGCUAUUCUGGAACCAAUGGCACUGACGGAUUUCGGAUCCGAUGCACGGUUUUCGAGAAAAAGGAGUUUUAACAAAAAGAGGGUUUCCGCUCUUUGCUAUUCGUGCA
This 845-nucleotide long non-coding RNA is filed under the name Ananas comosus (pineapple). RNAcentral's name for it is "long non-coding RNA (ACOM_LNC026548)". Lineage: Eukaryota; Viridiplantae; Streptophyta; Magnoliopsida; Poales; Bromeliaceae. The record is from RNAcentral.